CAUUCUACACCAUCACUCCACCUCACCACCCCUGCACAGGAAUACCAGGCAAUGGAACUUGCCCACAUGACGCACCCACAACUCGAGGCCCACAAAACCCGAUUACACCAAAAACAGAGAACUACCGAACCACCUGGCUCCAAGUUACACUUCAACUGAAGACUACGCGACCCAUGGGACAACACCACUACACAGUUGGACUGAAAACGGGGAUAUGGGUGGCCAUAACGCCAUCAUCCUUAGGUAACAACGAACAACCAAAUAGGACCCACAAUACGGCAGCAUAUAGACCCUAUUGGUCCAUGUUACAGCCGGCUUAAUGCCUAAUCUCAUGAUACAUACGGUACAAGUUCUUACUAUGCCUAUAUCUGUAUAUACAGAGGAUUGUGCGAUUGCUAACAGAGAAGAUGCUGUACAACUGUGCAUUUUCCCCCUCCC
Non-coding RNA from Pelobates cultripes (western spadefoot toad), 438 nucleotides. NCBI's taxonomy places the organism in Eukaryota, Metazoa, Chordata, Amphibia, Anura, Pelobatidae. The record is from the annotation of a GenBank genome assembly.